GUCGAUUAUAUUAUUAAUAAAAGAUAAGCUGUCAGGUAAAAUUAGUUCUUCGAAAAUUUUUGGUUGUCAUUUUACCGGGAACUUCUUUCUUAUAUUUAUUCAGUUUUAUAGGCAAAUUGCAUGUGUUUGGAAUGCCAAUGGUCUUGCAAACAACGAAUUCGAUUAAAAUUGCCCAUUUCAGCGUUGUAUCUCCAUUUCAGCGUUUUAUCCCAAUUUCAGCGUCUUAUUCCCCAUUUCAGCGUUUUAUCCCCAUUUCAUCGUUUUAUCCCCAUUUCAGCGUUUAAUCCCAUUUCAGCGUUUUAUCCCCAUUUCAGCGUUUUAUCCCCAUUUCAGCGUUUUAUCCCGUAUUCAGCGUUUUAUCCCCAUUUCAGCGUUUUAUCCCCAUUUCAGCGUUUUAUCCCUAUUUCAGUUUUCGCUUUCAGUUUCCGUUUCCGCGAUUCAAUUUCAGCGUUUUAUCCCUACCCGUUUCAGUUGUAUGUCUUUUCACACGGAACAGAAAUGCAAACUUGUAAAGAAAAAUGGUGGUGUUUAUGGAUAUCUGAGGUAUGCCAUAACAUAAAAGUAUCUCUUUUGAAUGAAAAAAACAACAAAAAUAUCACAUCCAAAAUGUUUUUUAUCUCUUUACAUAAAAUAAGCAAAAUGGGUAAAAUAUUAGCAAUAUUCGCCAUUUUUUUACAGGCGGUUGUAUUCAAUGGGGCCAACAAACAGCAUUUUGGAUUUGAAUGUUACUUUUUUG
Paramuricea clavata is the source of this 736-nucleotide non-coding RNA. The record is from the annotation of a GenBank genome assembly. NCBI's taxonomy places the organism in Eukaryota, Metazoa, Cnidaria, Anthozoa, Malacalcyonacea, Plexauridae.